RNAcentral lists this ribosomal RNA (497 nucleotides) under uncultured bacterium. RNAcentral describes it as "partial 16S ribosomal RNA". It matches the Rfam family "Bacterial small subunit ribosomal RNA", at positions 28 to 507 of the family's 1533-position model. The record is from RNAcentral.
GACGAACGCUGGCGGCGUGCCUAAUACAUGCAAGUAGAACGCUGAAGAGAGGAGCUUGCUCUUCUUGGAUGAGUUGCGAACGGGUGAGUAACGCGUAGGUAACCUGCCUUGUAGCGGGGGAUAACUAUUGGAAACGAUAGCUAAUACCGCAUAACAAUGGAUGACACAUGUCACUUAUUUGAAAGGGGCAAUUGCUCCACUACAAGAUGGACCUGCGUUGUAUUAGCUAGUAGGUGAGGUAAUGGCUCACCUAGGCGACGAUACAUAGCCGACCUGAGAGGGUGAUCGGCCACACUGGGACUGAGACACGGCCCAGACUCCUACGGGAGGCAGCAGUAGGGAAUCUUCGGCAAUGGGGGCAACCCUGACCGAGCAACGCCGCGUGAGUGAAGAAGGUUUUCGGAUCGUAAAGCUCUGUUGUAAGUCAAGAACGGGUGUGAGAGUGGAAAGUUCACACUGUGACGGUAGCUGACCAGAAAGGGACGGCUAACUACGUG